UGGGAGAAUUGGCAAAGAAUUAAGAGCAACCAAGAUAUGUGAGCUGAUUAUCGCCACCCUGUUUGCUAAGCUCUCACCAUUCCCAGACAAGCAAACACUGUGGUUUCCAACUGCAAGCCCUGAAACUCUGCCUGAAGCCUUCUCUAGCUUCCAGGAUUGCUGUGUUUCAUGGCAUAACAAGGCAGAAAGCCAAAACAGUUCAUGACUCCUGGGGACAGGUCAUAGAUAAAUAAACCUUGAUUUCCUUUCCUUGUCUUUCAGUUUGGGUGAUUUGGAAGAGUGUGCUGUAUGCUAAGCAACGCUGAGCUCUAGCCACCUUGAGUGAGAACCAGUGGCCUGUGUCAGGAGGUCAUACAAGGCAAAUUAAAGAAGAAAUCUUCUGAUGUGGUGGACAUGUUUGACCUCGGACAUAGCAACUCAAAAAUCUCCCUGAUGGCCUCUUUGCCACUAAAAAAACAGAUACUGGUUCCCCGCUCCCAUGGUUAAGAAGGAAGCUGGAAGAAAUUGCAGAAGAGUUUUCAAAGCUGUGAGUGAACCUUGUCAAAACCCAGAGGAAGAGUCUCAGGGAAACAGAGGUCAUGAAAUGUCAAAGAUGGAAAUUCAUUGAGGAUGCUUUCUGGCUCUGAAUAUUUCAACCUCUCUAAGAUGAGAAGGAAACUGAAAAUAAAAUUCUAAAUUAGUGCAAACACAUUCCAUGAGGAAAGGAAGAGUUCACUUUUGGGUCACUCCUAAAUUAACAUUGUAUUUAUCAGAACAGGUUGGUCCAUCCCAAUAAUUGGUGUGUUCUUUCCAAGGCUAAGUAAAAUUUUGUAAAGCAUCAAUUUGAAGAAUGUAUU
This is a long non-coding RNA of Castor canadensis (American beaver), 836 nucleotides long. RefSeq lists it as uncharacterized. The record is from RefSeq and is a predicted model, not a curated record. Lineage: Eukaryota; Metazoa; Chordata; Mammalia; Rodentia; Castoridae.